Bos grunniens (domestic yak) is the source of this 2987-nucleotide long non-coding RNA. The record is from Ensembl. Lineage: Eukaryota; Metazoa; Chordata; Mammalia; Artiodactyla; Bovidae.
GUCUAUGCAUGUCCUUAUUCAAGCCAUUAGUUAGCUACUUUCUUCAUGAUUUAGAUAGUGAAAAUUACUUUUUGGUUAUCUCUCCCAUCAUCUUUAUUCCCUAAAGAAUGCACUUUAGAAAGAAUAAUCCAAUUGAAAAACCACAAUGGUGACAGGCAUAUCCCAAUACAGAUAUUAUAGUUGUGGGGUGACACCUUACAGACUAUCUAUGUCUUCCUAUGCCACAGGAAUACUGAAAGGAUAAAUUUAUUCAAAAAUAAGUAUGCUGCUGCUGCUUCUGCCAAGUCACUUCAGUCGUGUCCAACUCUGUGCAACCCCAUAGACGGCAGCCCACCAGGCUCCUCUGUCCCUGGGAUUCUCCAGGCAAGAACACUGGAGUGGGUUGCCAUUUUCUUCUCCAAUGCAUGAAAGUGAAAAGUGAAAGUGAAGUUGCUCAGUCGUGUCCAACUCUUUGUGACCCCAUGGACUGCAGCCUACCAGGCUCCUCCAUCCGUGGGAUUUUCCAGGCAAGAGUACUGGAGUGGGGUGCGAUCGCCUUCUCCAAAAAAUAAGUAUAACAAAGAGUAAAACCCACAAAAUGAGGGUAAUUAUGAUAUUGUUGUAACCACACACUUUCCAGUUUUAUCUUUUAAGCUGUAGUUGCCACGUGAACAGAAACACAAGAUGGAUGGAUAUGUAGGCAAAAAAAAAAAAAAAAACAAAAACGAAAACCUCCAAGAUCAGUAACACUAUCCACAGAUAAAAUUUGGCCCACUACUUGUUUUUGUCAAUAGAGUUUUAUUGGAACACUGCCACACCCAUUCAUAUCUAUAUUUCCUAUGGCUGCUUUCCUAUUAAUGUGCCAAAUUGUGUAGUUGUGCUAAACUAUGGCUUGCAAGAAAAACCUAUACAGCUUCAAAACACUUACUCUCUGACCCGCCAUAGAAAGUUUGUUAAUCCUGCUCUAGAGCACAUGGAGGAAUUCCUUUUCUUACACAUUUUUCUCAACCCCAAAACUAACAGGAUGAUCUAUGAGGGCAUAAAAGAAAAAAUAUGAAACAAAAAAGGGACAUAAUUGAAGAAGAAAUUUGUUUCACUGAGAGGCAGAGUUUAUUCCGAGGUUCUUGGCAAAAUCAAAUGGGGACCAGCCAGUGUUAGAAAAAGGACCAUUUACAGACACAGUGAUAUGAUAUGCAAGUUCACUGAAAGAUUAAAAUUUGGGGGAGAGUCAUUUGGUUUACAGUCAUAUGGCAAAGAAUAAAAAAAGGGGGGCUCUGUGUAGGGAUGCACAGUGGCCAAAGUAGCAGAGUGAUCUGGGGAUGAUCAAGAGGGGCUCUUUCAGACUGGCCCUAGUUCGGAUCCAAACACCUCCAAAUCAAUGAACUCACUCCACAUCUGUGUGGAUUGGUAGCAUCACAGGGAAGGAAAGGACCCUGACCAUUUCCACAGUAUGAAGGGGGCUUCUUUGGAGUUUAUUAAAGCUAGAAGCACAGAGGACAAAAAGGUUCCCGGCCUUCUAGUCUGACAAAUUCUUCUUGCUCUGUGCAGGGUCAGAUGGGGAAGAGAAACCUCAUAUCAGAGUUAAUGAUCAUAGUCCUGCUUUGCUAAUUAAUGCCACUGACUCAUGUGGUGUGAAAAGGCAACUUAAAAGGCUCCACACCAGCUGAGAAGUGGGAGCUGGAAGAGGAAAAGCACAGGAAUCCUUUACGUAACUAAGAAUGAAGGAGAAUCUUUAAUUUUCUGUUAAUUACAUCUUUUCAAUCUAUAAUUUCUGAGCAGGACAGGCAGGCAAAAUCAAAUCACUGCUGCCGUGACACAGUGGCUCCAUUUUAAUUAAAAGCCACCACCUUCAUAUCACCUCACAGAAGGGCACAGGCUGGAGUUACCCUGGGUCUCAUAUUUAUUUUCGUUUUUCUCCUUUAAUUUUUGCAUGAGCAAUUCUAACCCUUGACUUUCACAAAAUAACAUUUCAAUGGAGCCUUUUAAUUCAUAAUAGCUAUAAAAACUAAAUAGUAUGCAUACACAUGGAUUUAUAUACAUUUAUAUACACUUACAUAUGAGACUAUAAGGUCCAAAGACUAAUAUGAUAUUGCAUUUUAUGUUUCAAGGGCAUUGUGAGCUCCAAGUGGGAGGACCCUGGAAUCUUGAAAGGGUUUAUGUAUUCUGUUAACUAUUAAUAGCUGACUUGCCAGUCACUUGGUAGACAAUUUUUUCCAUACAGUUUCAGUAUUAUAUAAAAAUGAAAUUCUUGCACAGGGAAGGAUAUAGAUAUCAGUACAUAUAUACAUUAUUUUAGAACUCUGAUUAGGGGAUCAAUUCUUACACAAGAUAGAGGGCUUUUUUAAAGAUGUUUUUGAUGUGGACCAAUUUUAUGAUUUGCUUUUUUUUUUUUUUUGCCUCUAGGCAUAUGGGAUCUUCGCUUCCUAACCAGGGAUCAAGUCAGCAAAACCUGCAUUAGAAGGCAGAGUCUUAACUACUGGACCACCAGGGGAGUCCUGCAAGAUGGACUUUUAAUGUAUAAAUAUUUGAGAAGUGGGGAGUCAAUCCUAAGGUAUGAAAUUACCUGAGAUAAAUUUAUUUAAUUACCAUUUUCACCACUGAGGUGUGCACAUUUUGCAUUUUAGUAGGUAUAUGAAAAUAUGUGUAUAUAUAGUACAUAUAAAUGCAUACUUUGAUUUGAUAAAGUCUAUUUAAUGUGCAUGUUUAUUUUGGGGAAAAAACCCAUUUGUCAGUCACACCAAGUUUACUUUUCUGUUGUAUAAUCUGUUAUCUCUAUGAAUCACGGGCUUCCCUGGUGACUCAGAUGGUAAACAGUCUGCCUGCAAUGCAGGAGACUCAGGUUUGACUAUUGGGAAAGGAAGAUUCCAUGGAGAAGGAAGUGGCAAUCCACUCCAGUAUGUUUGCCUGGGAGAUCCCAUGGACAGAGGAGCCUGGCAGGCUACAGUCUGUGGAGUCGCAAAAGAAUUGAACAUGACUGAGUGACUAUGAAACACACCCUCUACCUCUUG